CAGUAAUUAAAUAAGGAACCUAGCAAAAUAAUCACCUUGAAGGGUUAAUUUUGCUUAGGAUUCCUUUUUUCCCUUCUUUUCUAAUGUGAGUUAAAAUAUCUACAGAAUUUUUUGAAGUCCUGGCAACUUAUUUUGAAAAUAUAUAUGAGAAGGCUGCCCUCUUGUGUCAAUGUAAUUUACAUUUUAUCAGUCAUUCCAGUUUUAAGUAGUCUCUAUUCAGGGUGAAAAGGAUAAAACAAAAUCAAUAUUUUUGAACGUUUAUAUGACUGUGUCAUUAGAAAUAAAUUAUAAGGGGAAGUGAGCAAUCUAAUAUUGCUUUAUUUUUUCUUCUCUCUUCUUUGUUCAAUUGGUAGCUCUUGUAACAUGAAACUUUUUUUUCUUCAAGUUCUCUUCCUAUUAUAAAAAUGUGCCAACCCCAGUUCCAGUGGUAUUGACACAUAAUACUUUAAAAGGACUAAACAUCCCCAAGUCCUUGAAUAUUUAUAUCUAUGUAAGAAAAGUUUUUCCCCACAGAGAGACCUUCAAUGGUAUAGCCUUUUAGCAUCCAGAAACCAGGAAAAGGCUAAUCUGGAAUUCAUAUAACAUGACCUCCGGCUCAAGAGCAGGAAGUACUAGAGUUAUAACAGGAUGGUGUAGUUAUUACAGGUGGACAUGCAAAUAUUCUGUCUUAAAUGAACAUGUACAUGAAAGUUAUGGAAUUCAGAAGUGGAGGAGAGACUGACAGAGUUAUCUGUUCUCUCUGGGCUGUUAGGUACAUGAACACCAGAAAUAUCAACAGCAGCUUCAACUGAGAAAUCUUCAGAGGAAGUUUUCUCUAGCUGAAACAAAUGUGAAAGCAGGAAGACUUUGUAGGUCUAAGCAAUUCUACAACAAAUGGUAGAAGCAACAAGGCUAAAAAUACCUUCCCACGUGUGGAGUCCACAUUACCUGACAAAGCUCCCCUUUAAUACAGCAAUAAAGAGCAAGGAAGUGAAAAUGAAGAGGGUUUUCCAGAUUGCAAAGAAAAGCUUUCAACUUUGCAAAUGUCCACACUUUCUAAGACAUUAGCAAUGUUUUGAUUGCCACUUUGGAAAAAAAAAGGGGUAUGUCUUUGUGGACUUUACCCGGAAAUGUGGUAAAUGCUUGUAUCAAAAUAACCCUCCUACAGGAAUGAGUUGAGGUUUACAAUUUAUGUAUCUAUACAGUGAGCAUCGACUAUCUGGUAUUAAAUGGAUAGCACUAGCAUUCUGUCAGAGCUGAAACCAGGAUGCCCUACCCAUCGUCCCAUCUACCCAUCGCUACUCAUUUACAGCUAUGUCUCUUGCAAUAGACUUUGGCAAUGCUAAAUAUUGAGUUCUAUAAUAAUAGUCCUCAUGGCUAGGAAUUGGCUUUUUUCUAAAUUCGCUGAGGGUUUGGUCAGUGCUGGGAUAUUUAUGAGCCUCCUAUUAACUCUUGAACUCUUUCAAAGUUGAGGUACAUCAGAGACUUGGUGGGAAUGAACUCACCUUGAAGGACUUACACCCAUUUUCAGUGAAUUUGUCCUGUGUCAAUUUAGCUGAACUGGAACUACAUUUCCCAGAAUUCUUGUCUCUGUAAUUCCAGUCGGGUUAGGCAUAUGGAAAACUGUAUCUGGAAGGAAAUAUGGAAGCAGCAACAAUUAGGCUUUGAAGUUGCGUGUGGGACAUCAGACACUGUUGCAGCCCACUGCCACACUGUUACUGUUCUGCAGGUUCACGUUCAAGCCCACAGCUCCUCAAUAUCCCAGGGGUCUCCUUGUUCAGUUUUUCUGAGUCCUGGGGCAGGCGUGUGUUUAGUUCUGUGUGAAGCGUCAGCUGCUUCUGCAGUCACUCACAUCAUCCUGGUUGGAAAUUCUAAGAAAUAAACAUAGGUUCCAGUUUGUUCUUGAUCACCCCACUUUCACAUCCCCCCUUUUUUUUUCUCUACUUCUGGCCGUAAUGAUCCAUAGCAACUUCAGGCUGGCUACUGGAUGCAGAGGUAACACUCUUCCAAGACUUCUCCACCAGGUUCAAUGAUAGUGCAAGUUUUAAUCCCUAGAAUAAAUCCCCAUUCCUUAUCACUCAUAGUAGUUCUUCUUCCUUGGUUGCAUCCUACAAAAUCUGGUGCCUGAAAUAGAAAUGCUGUCAUAACAAAAACCUAAAACAACUGCCCCUGGCUUUGGGACAGCAUGGCAGGAACAGGGCAGCUGGCCGAAGCUGGAAGGGUCUUCCCAAGAUGAUUCGUUAAAGUUGAAGAGUCUACAGAAGACAGUGAAAAUUUGAAAAACAGUAAGAAAAUUUUUAUUGGAAAGUUUGGUAACAUAGCUCCCAGUCAUAAUGUGGAAAAUAAAUAUUUAAUGAACUCACUGAUCUAGCUGGAGAAAUUUAUAGACAGAACGUGGAAAAUUCCAACAGACUUCUUUCUAUGAUUAAAUACAAAAUGAAAGGGGGAUGGGAAAAGAAAGAGAAACUAAAGAAAGAAUUGUACCAUUUUCACUUAGACUUUAAGAAUUUAGAGGAAAUACAAAGAAUCCAGGGAUUGUCAGGUUUGAAAAUAAAAUGGUUUUUCAUCCCUAGUUAUUCCCAAAAAAAUUCUCAAAGAAAGAAAUAGCCUCAGCAAAUAUAAAAUCCAAUGCACUGAAAGAAACUCACAGUAAAGACUGUAAAUGUGUGGCUGCUCUAAAUCCCCUUGUUGAGACCUCAAAAAAUGUAAGCGCAUGACUCCUAGGACUCUAAAGGAUCUUAUAGAUGGUGCCCCACAGCAGCCUUACUCUCUGCCUGAGGUAGAAAAGGGCCUGUCUCAGUUAAAAAAAAAAAAAAAAAAAAAAUUUGUGAGUGGUUUAUGCUAAUGGCAUGGAUUUUAAAAGUAAAAUACAAAGGAGUCUUUGGACCUCCCCAACCUACUAUGGACAGAAAGCAGGCUGAGGAGGUCACUUGGUUAAAAUAAAAAUUGAUCAGUGCAUAUAGAUAAGGACCUAAAAAACCAGAACCAAGAGCUAAAAGGCAAUGCCAAGAGCAGAGGUGAAUCAUUCCCAGGGAGCAAAACCGUCCCUGACCCUAGAUUUCAGUAACCGCUGUACCUCUCAUUCCCUCCUUAUUUGAACUGAGUUUCCUACUGCUUUUAUUUUAUCUCACCAUUGUGUGGUGGUAGGAAAACGUGUCUCUUUAGUUCAUAGCUCAUCAGAUAGAGAGGAAUCAAGCCCCAAGAGCAAGGAGGCUCGUCCACACCUGGCACCUGGCCUAAGCGUGUUGCUGUAGUGCAGUGAGAACUCAGAGGGGUCAUGGGAAGGGUUGAAUGUAUUUUCUGUGUAGUCAAAGGGCAGGCAAGCUACCACGCUGAUUGAAUCUGAGUGGACUCUUUGACUUCUUUGCAAAUAGAAUGUGGCUAAAAUGAUGAGACGCUAGAUUCUGGGUCCAACUCUUAACAGACUAACAUUUCCAUUUCCUGUAUCUUGAAUAUUCACCUUUGGAGUCUUGAGUCUCCAUGUAAGAAGUUCAGCUGGAGGAACCAUGUGGAGAGGCCCUGAGACUGCAUGGAGAGAUAGAAGAGCAGAGUUGAACCCAGUCUUCCAUCAAUCUGUGCUAAGGCAGGCAUAUACUUGACAUAUUUGAUUGUUUUGAAGACCAGCAGGAGAAAAGCCAAGGUUACAGCUCUGCUCCAAGAAAUAAGGAGUCCUCUCUACAUUCCCUCUCAGGCAGGGAGCCCACCUGAGUUGUAUCAAAGGACAAUGAACAAUGUGACAAUGAACAGCUUUCUUUCAAAAGAUAUUUUUAAUCACGCAAGUGUCUAUAAAGGUAUUUGGCUGAGAUCUGAUCAUUGAGACUAAAACAUAGUAUUCUGGCCCACAGAAUUUUAUAGAUGGGUAGUAAAUCCAGUUGCCAGUACCAUUAAACAAAACAAAAACAACAAACACGUCAAUAUGGUUCCUUGAAGCCUUCUAAUUUUCAUUAUUUCUUGUGUUACACAAAAUAAGAUUAACUACUAUGAAAUGUGGCCGAGUGAAUUACCCUAUUGGAAGAUAUCUUUUUUUGAUAUUGUUCAUUGACAGAUCAUUUAUUAUCAGAGAUGCCAUAUUUUGGCAAAUUAUGUGGAGAAAUAAUAUCUUCGUAAUUAUUACUCAAUAACUUAAAUGAGUUACAAAGUAAAGUUAUAUAAAGACUAUGCUGAAUACUGGUUUGGUCUGUUGCAAGCAAAAUGUUUAAAGAUGAGUUGAUCUGAACAGCUGACACCUGAGUUCUUUUUAGGUGUGAGAAGUCUGUGUUUAGGAAAACACCUUGAGAAGCCACUAGAGGGCAAUAGUUAGCAGGAAGUUGGGAAAAUAAAAUGUGUCAGAACUGUGUUAAUGUAAAAUAAAAUAUAAAAUACAAAAUAAAAUGUGUCAGAAUAGGAUGGUGUGGGAGAGAGCUGAUUAAAAUGCCGUGAGACUGGACCCUUUGUUGGUGGAAAGCACCAUGAGAUAAUGUUUAAUGUUCAAUUUCAAAUUCUUACUUUGCAGUCUAGGUCAACCUAGGUCAUCUGUCCAGAACAUCAGUAAAGUCAGAUAUGCCAGAUAAGGCCUUCAGUAAAGUGUGUGUGUGUGUGUGUGUGUGUGUGUGUGUGUGUGUAGAAAAUAAGGAAAACUCUGAGUUCACUGUUUGAGUUAACAAGUUGUGGAGAAGUGGCAAUAAAUUAUUUGUUCUAAUUUAGUUAAAGUAGGAGUUUGAAAGUAAAGAUGACACUGACUAAGACUAUGCUGGGUAUUCCCAGAAGUCUUAGGGAGCCCCUUGAAUAUUUCAUAAGAUGUGGAUUUGGGAUUUGAAUCAAUCUUACAAUCUUAAGUAGCAGGAUAAGUUUAGUUAUCACAGAAGAUUUUAGAUUAACAUGCAUACACACACACAGACGUGUACACACACCACAGUUAUUAAGAAAAAGAUUAGCACAGGGCUUUUAAGGGUUAUUGGUUCAUGGUGGCAGAUAAAACAGUCUCAGCAGCCAAGUAGACGCUCCUUAUUACUAGAAAUUUAUUUCUAUAUCUAUCAUGUUUAUCUCUAUCUCUAAAUGUAUCUGUAUCUAUCUGCCAAAAAAUCGGGGAGAUAUAUAUAUAUAUGAGAUGUAUCAUAUAUAUAUCAGGGGUUGGUAAACUAUGAACCACAGGCCACAUUCAGCUUGCUGCUUAUUUGUUAAAUAAACUUUUAUUGUAAUAAUA
This is a long non-coding RNA of Aethalodelphis obliquidens (Pacific white-sided dolphin), 5161 nucleotides long. RefSeq lists it as uncharacterized. Lineage: Eukaryota; Metazoa; Chordata; Mammalia; Artiodactyla; Delphinidae. The transcript is spliced from 2 exons. The record is from RefSeq and is a predicted model, not a curated record.